Molecule: ribosomal RNA, 504 nt
Filed under: uncultured bacterium
Lineage: Bacteria
Description: partial 16S ribosomal RNA
Rfam family: Bacterial small subunit ribosomal RNA
Source: RNAcentral
GACGAACGCUGGCGGCGUGCCUAAUACAUGCAAGUAGAACGCACAGUUUAUACCGUAGCUUGCUCCACCAUAGACUGUGAGUUGCGAACGGGUGAGUAACGCGUAGGUAACCUGCCUGGUAGCGGGGGAUAACUAUUGGAAACGAUAGCUAAUACCGCAUAAUAUUGAUUAUUGCAUGAUAAUUGAUUGAAAGAUGCUAUUGCAUCACUACCAGAUGGACCUGCGUUGUAUUAGCUAGUAGGUGAGGUAACGGCUCACCUAGGCGACGAUACAUAGCCGACCUGAGAGGGUGAUCGGCCACACUGGGACUGAGACACGGCCCAGACUCCUACGGGAGGCAGCAGUAGGGAAUCUUCGGCAAUGGACGAAAGUCUGACCGAGCAACGCCGCGUGAGUGAAGAAGGUUUUCGGAUCGUAAAGCUCUGUUGUAAGAGAAGAACGGGUGUGAGAGUGGAAAGUUCACACUGUGACGGUAUCUUACCAGAAAGGGACGGCUAACUACGU